Molecule: ribosomal RNA, 375 nt
Filed under: uncultured organism
Description: partial 16S ribosomal RNA
Rfam family: Bacterial small subunit ribosomal RNA
Source: RNAcentral
GGGGGGGGGGCAAGCGUUGUUCGGGAAUUACUGGGCGUAAAGGGCGUGUAGGCGGUCCUGCAAGUCUUUCGUGAAAUCCCACAGCUCAACUGUGGAACUGCGAGGGAAACUGCAGGACUUGAGUCCGGGAGAGGAGAGUGGAAUUCCCAGUGUAGCGGUGAAAUGCGUAGAUAUUGGGAGGAACACCGGUGGCGAAGGCGGCUCUCUGGACCGGUACUGACGCUGAGGCGCGAAAGCUAGGGGAGCAAACGGGAUUAGAUACCCCGGUAGUCCUAGCCUUAAACGAUGAGCACUUGGUGUGGCGGGUAUCGACCCCUGCCGUGCCGAAGCUAACGCAUUAAGUGCUCCGCCUGGGGAGUACGGUCGCAAAAGCUG